Saccostrea cuccullata (small rock oyster) is the source of this 422-nucleotide long non-coding RNA. RefSeq lists it as uncharacterized. The record is from RefSeq and is a predicted model, not a curated record. NCBI's taxonomy places the organism in Eukaryota, Metazoa, Mollusca, Bivalvia, Ostreida, Ostreidae. The transcript has 4 exons.
UAAAUGGGGAUGAAAACAUUGUGACAUUUUUAUUUUUUGUUUUUACAAACUUAGAAAAGACAAGAUGUCUCGUGCGAGGGUACCCAGCCAACAAAAGUUGGCGGAAAAGUUGCCCACCUAAAUGACAGAGGAAGGGGCAUGCUGACAAGAAUAUACAACAUCAAAAAGAUGCUUACGAACACCGACAGCAAACCACCGUUUCUCUCUGAUAAAAGUUUGGGUCGGCCUUCAAAUAUCUACUCAAGAAAUUUCCCAACAUAGACAACCAUGCUGGGGCCCUCCAAGUGAUCAACAACAUCAAACAGGAUGUCGUGAAGUCCUUGUCUCUAUACUACUUCACUUUUGUGGACAUCAUGGACUUCAAGGAUCAUGUCGUUGAUUUGCUGACUACGAUUGAUGCCUGUCAAGUUCAUAUGGACAUU